Long non-coding RNA from Zalophus californianus (California sea lion), 1106 nucleotides. RefSeq lists it as uncharacterized. The transcript has 3 exons. The record is from RefSeq and is a predicted model, not a curated record. Lineage: Eukaryota; Metazoa; Chordata; Mammalia; Carnivora; Otariidae.
UCCCGCCGGAUGUGGGGCUCGAUCCCACGACUCUGGGAUCAUGACCUGAGCCGAAGGCAGACGCUUAACGACUGAGGCACCCCUCAUCGUUAGCUUUUUUAUAAAAAAUAAAUAGUAAUAAUCUAGCCUCUUCAGAGACAGUGUCCUAAACUCUCUCACUACAACUUGAUUUCAAAGGAACUAAUAAAACCCGGGUUAAAAGGCGAUCAACAAUAAAAUUACUGCAAUAGCUGGGGGGAUGGGGGGGUUGUCAGUCAGUCCCUACCGAGUGAGAAAGCAAGCAGGGAGAGGUAGAGUUGGGCUAGAGCUCUUUAAUUCAUUAAUGCAAGCUUUGUCGAAUUCAAACUUUCUCCAGAACUGCGGGUGAAACCUACUUCUCCUUCCCUUGUCCUCCCUCUGGUGGAGAAUUCUAAAGAGCAGUGAAAUCGAGAAAACGUUGGCACCCUGCUGCAAAAGACAGAAGUUAGAGGCCAGAGUAAUCCACACCACGGAAUGAUCCAGAAUCAUGGUAAUAAGAACUGCUGAGAGAGAUUUUAGCAGUAUUGCCAUCAUAAUUUAUUUUGAAAAAGUUUGAUGUCCAAGUAUCUUCUGCUGACCCUUCAACAAACACCAAAAAUAAAUUUUGCUAGGCUAUAAAAACAGCGAAAUCAGGGGAAAGAUUAUGAAUAAGCCUGAAUAGCACUGUAAUAUUCCACAGAGUCUAAUGUAAAAUGAAAUCUGAAUGUUGGCUGAAAUAGCUCUGUUUUCCCAGGAGGGGCCACUGCUCAACAAGAAGGAAACAGCAAAAUUCAGAAAAGGGGAACCCUUUCAAAAAAAGAGAGAAAAAAAAAGGCCAAAAAUUGCAAUGAUAAAUGUUGAAAGAGCAUUGAAGAAAGAUGAUGAAGGGGCAGUUGGAUGACAGGGCUUCCUGGGACUACGUUUGGAUUCUGGAGUCAUAUUUUAGUUGUCAGUUGCAGCUGAAUUGUCAGAAAAUUUAUGACAAAGUCCAAAACUUUUUUCUACUAAUAUAUUGUUUAAAUGUGCCUUUAUCCUUUAUGUUAUUUAAUGUUAAUUUUUUGAGGGUUAUUUUAUUCCAUUAUUUAUGAUUAGGUAAAAGAUUAACCAAA